Molecule: non-coding RNA, 1563 nt
Organism: Odocoileus virginianus texanus
Lineage: Eukaryota; Metazoa; Chordata; Mammalia; Artiodactyla; Cervidae
Source: RefSeq, a predicted model, not a curated record
CAGGCGGCUGACCAACUCCCCGGACGGCAGGAUACGGGUGACCUCCUGGCUUCCAGAUUCCUCUCUGACCUCAGUGACUCCAGACUACAGCAGUUCCACCUAAUAUUCCUAGACAACCCGCAGGUCGCCGUGGGACGUAGUUCCCAGCUGAACCCGCUAUCUGCGCUUCCCUCUCUCCCGAUUUCCUUAAGAGUCCCGGCUCACCAGUGUACCGAGAUCUUGGACUCUCUGACACAGCCACCGCCAAACCUCUUUGCAGAGCCACUGCCAGACCCCGAUAUGACCAUGUUUGUCGAUGGGAGUUCCAAAAAGGACCCAGAUGGGCGCCGGGCAGCGGCCUACGCUGUAGUCACCCUACAGAAAGUCCUUGAGGCCCAACCCCUCCCACUAGGAACAACUUCCCAAAAAGCAGAACUAACUGCACUGACCCGAGCCUUACACCUGGCAAAAAACAAAAGGGCCAAUAUCUACACGGACUCUAAGUACGCUUUCCUAAUCGCCCACUCACAUGCGGCAAUCUGGAAAGAGAGGGGCUUUCUCACCACUAAAGGCUCCCCAAUAUGUAAUGCCUCCCAUAUUACCAAACUACUGGAGGCCAUCCCCCUGCCAAAAGAAGUGGCCAUCUUACAUUGCCGGGGACACCAGGCAGCUCGCGAUAAAAUAGCCCAGGGUAAUAAUUUGGCUGACCAGGUGGCCCGGCAAACUGCCCUGCAGCGAGAGGUGGCCCCUCUACUGGUCCUGGAGACCUCCUUUAUCCCUAAAUACACCAAGGCAGAAACCAGAGCGCUACUCGCCCAGGAGGGGACACAAACACAUCCUUCCGGAUGGAUCACCCUCCACGAAAAACUGGUCCUCCCUGAACAACAAGCCAUCACCAUCAUAAAGCAGAUCCAUGACGCCCUCCAUAUCGGACCGCGAGCUCUCUUAAAUUUCCUUAGCCCGCUCUUCUCCCCUCUUCAUCUUAGGCAGGCCAUCCAGACCGUACACCGCUCCUGUCUGACCUGCGCAACAAUCUCUCCUCAAGGAGGGCUCCGGCCCCCCCCAAGAAACCCACCAGCUGAGAGGACAUCUGCCCGGUCAAGAUUGGCAGAUAACCCAGCAGGUAGCUGCAGCCCUCAACAUCACCUGGCAUCUUCACAUCCCGUACCGACCCCAGUCAUCGGGUAAAGUAGAACGGGCCAACGGGGUCCUCAAGGCCCACCUCGCCAAGCUCGCCUCAGAAGUGCGGCUCUCCUGGGUUGACCUCCUCCCCUUGGCUCUCACCCGCAUCCGCACAACACCGCACUCAAAGACAGGUUUGACCCCCUUCGAGCUGCUGUACAGCAGGCCCUACCUGCUGACCCAUCUGCCCCCAGAAAAACCACCUCCCCUGGCCAAUUACCUGCCCCUUUUCACCCGCCUGCACGCCUUACUCAAGGAACACGCAGAUCGGGUCCUGCCACAACCUAGAGACGGUGACGGCCCCAUCAGACCACUGUCGCCUGGAGACCAGGGUCCAAAAAAUAGCGCAGGCCGCGACCGGACGGGCCAUGAUACUAACAGUUUACACUCAACUCAAUCAAG